UUUUAUUUGAGAGUUUGAUCCUGGCUCAGGAUGAACGCUGGCGGCGUGCCUAACACAUGCAAGUUGAGCGAUUUACUUCGGUAAAGAGCGGCGGACGGGUGAGUAACGCGUGGGUAACCUACCCUGUACACACGGAUAACAUACCGAAAGGUAUGCUAAUACGGGAUAAUAUAUUUGAGAGGCAUCUCUUGAAUAUCAAAGGUGAGCCAGUACAGGAUGGACCCGCGUCUGAUUAGCUAGUUGGUAAGGUAACGGCUUACCAAGGCGACGAUCAGUAGCCGACCUGAGAGGGUGAUCGGCCACAUUGGAACUGAGACACGGUCCAAACUCCUACGGGAGGCAGCAGUGGGGAAUAUUGCACAAUGGGCGAAAGCCUGAU
This 379-nucleotide ribosomal RNA is filed under the name Clostridioides difficile. RNAcentral describes it as "bacterial SSU rRNA". It matches the Rfam family "Bacterial small subunit ribosomal RNA", at positions 1 to 387 of the family's 1533-position model. The record is from RNAcentral. Lineage: Bacteria; Bacillati; Bacillota; Clostridia; Peptostreptococcales; Peptostreptococcaceae.